AUGGGAGAUCCCUCCGACAACCCUGGGCCUCUACACUGACACAGAGAGCCUCCUGGAGUUUUUGCAGAGGCACCGCUCAGUCCCAUGUGGAGCCUCACAGGUCCUGGAUCUCUGAGCAGCCCAGCGCCAGCUGCCAUAUUCUCACUAGAGGCCGUAGUCAUGGUGCCUUAUUCCUCGUUGCUAGGCAAGGCUCAGCUGAAGCUUCCAGCACAGGGACCAGCUCUGCCUAAUCUCUGAGGGUGCGCACAGCUCUG
RNAcentral lists this long non-coding RNA (254 nucleotides) under Pan troglodytes (chimpanzee). RNAcentral describes it as "long non-coding RNA NONPTRT000733". Lineage: Eukaryota; Metazoa; Chordata; Mammalia; Primates; Hominidae. The record is from RNAcentral.